UAGUUUGUACGUCCAUGCGACUGCCACAUCUCGCCUCUGACGUUGGCUUGGCUGUCCAAAAAUUUAGAUUUAAUAUAAAGUUUAGAAAUAGCCAUGAAUACAUUAUUAUUUUUAUAUGUAUUAUCAAUUUACAUUAUUUUCUAAAUCUAAAUCCAAAUUUUAAAGUAUAAAUUUUUAAAAUCACCCUUUUUUAAGUAUUUUAGAUUUAUUUAGACUACUAGAUCCGUUUAUAUUAUUUUAAAAAAAUAAUAAAAUAGCUAAUAUAACCAUUUAAAAUUAGAUUAUUAGUUAAGUUACGUAUAAUAUUUGAUUCUAAUUAUAGUUAAUUUGAAUAUGUAUAAUUUAUAAUUGUAAUUAUACCUAUAAACUUAAAAAGAAAUGUUAUGUUAUAUUUAACAUUUAUAAUUAUAUUUUUAUUAAAUUAAAAUAUACAAUAAAUUAUGAUAUAUUAACAUAUUUGCUAAUAAUUCAAAAGAGUAAAUGGUUAAAGCUUUAUAUUAAUACUGUUAUACGUAAGUGACCACUAACCCGAGUCUCAGAUAGAAUCUGGAUCAUCUAUUUGUGACUCGGACAAGCCCCACUAGAUGAUCGAGUGAGAAGCAAACUGCGAUGGGACACCGAGGGGUGUUCGUGGACCCAACUCGCAUGACAGGCUUGCGGAUCUAGCUCGCAUGAACUAAGGGAAGGUUGCAGUCUCAGCUUGCAUGCGUCCAAGAAGCUCGCAGAAGGAGGACCAUGCUCUACAGGCAACCUAGAAGGAAACAUGUGUCUAGCAGGCCUAAAGCUCGCAGGGAAUGUCAGCACUAGGAAUAGAAAAGACUGCGUGCUCCACAGACAACCAAGAGUGAAAUACUGUCCAAUUGGCCUAAAGCUCACACAGAA
This 882-nucleotide long non-coding RNA is filed under the name Gossypium raimondii (Peruvian cotton). RNAcentral's name for it is "long non-coding RNA (GRAI_LNC008876)". Lineage: Eukaryota; Viridiplantae; Streptophyta; Magnoliopsida; Malvales; Malvaceae. The record is from RNAcentral.